UGCCUCCAAUUAUAUCUUCCAAAUCGUCCACACUAACAAUCCAUCCUUCUCCUCCAAAGGGAGAUUUUAGUAAAUAACCAAAAAUAACACUUGGGCUAAGGGUCAAGUUGGUAAUUUUUCUUACAUCCCCCCCCCCCGGAGACCAGGUAUCAUAUACGCCCCCAAAAUAAAGAGCCUUGAAUACUAGAAGAAAAGCACCUAUACCUAGCAAGAUUAAG
This 218-nucleotide unclassified non-coding RNA is filed under the name Hevea brasiliensis (rubber tree). The stretch from base 73 to 218 matches the Rfam family "Antisense RNA which regulates isiA expression", at positions 1 to 146 of the family's 187-position model. Lineage: Eukaryota; Viridiplantae; Streptophyta; Magnoliopsida; Malpighiales; Euphorbiaceae. The record is from RNAcentral.